This 73-nucleotide transfer RNA is filed under the name Microspora stagnorum. RNAcentral describes it as "tRNA-Trp". It matches the Rfam family "tRNA". From Rfam's summary of the family: Transfer RNA (tRNA) molecules are approximately 80 nucleotides in length. Their secondary structure includes four short double-helical elements and three loops (D, anti-codon, and T loops). Further hydrogen bonds mediate the characteristic L-shaped molecular structure. tRNAs have two regions of fundamental functional importance: the anti-codon, which is responsible for specific mRNA codon recognition, and the 3' end, to which the tRNAs corresponding amino acid is attached (by aminoacyl-tRNA synthetases). tRNAs cope with the degeneracy of the genetic code in two manners: having more than one tRNA (with a specific anti-codon) for a particular amino acid; and 'wobble' base-pairing, i.e. permitting non-standard base-pairing at the 3rd anti-codon position. Lineage: Eukaryota; Viridiplantae; Chlorophyta; Chlorophyceae; Microsporaceae. The record is from RNAcentral.
AGGGGAGUAUUUUCAAUGGUAGAAUAGUGGUCUCCAAAACCAAAGGUUAAGGGUUCGAGUCCCUUCUUCCCUG